AUACAGAGGGUGCAAGCGUUAAUCGGAAUUACUGGGCGUAAAGGUCGCGUAGGUGGCUAUGUAAGUCAGAUGUGAAAUCCCCGGGCUUAACCUGGGACGUGCAUAUGAAACUGGAUAGCUAGAGUACAAUAGAGGGUGGUGGAAUUUCCGGUGUAGCGGUGAAAUGCGUAGAUAUCGGAAGGAACACCAGUGGCGAAGGCGACCACCUGGAUUGAUACUGACACUGAGGUGCGAAAGCGUGGGUAGCGAACAGGAUUAGAAACCCUAGUAGUCC
RNAcentral lists this ribosomal RNA (274 nucleotides) under uncultured bacterium. RNAcentral describes it as "partial 16S ribosomal RNA". It matches the Rfam family "Bacterial small subunit ribosomal RNA", at positions 523 to 796 of the family's 1533-position model. The record is from RNAcentral.